Rhopilema esculentum is the source of this 11208-nucleotide non-coding RNA. Lineage: Eukaryota; Metazoa; Cnidaria; Scyphozoa; Rhizostomeae; Rhizostomatidae. The record is from RefSeq and is a predicted model, not a curated record.
UUUCAAGAUCCUACUGGGUCUCUGGAUGUGGGCAUGCCAAUGGCGCAUAAGCCCACAUCACGGACAGCGAGAAGUAAUUUCUCCCUGGAAUCAAGAGAGGGUACUUUCAUCUCUUUUUGUCAAAAUUUUGACAUGGGAAUUGUGGCUGCUCUUCAACAAGAAUGUCAAGAUUCCUCGAAGCUCCAAUUUGUAGAGGAUGAGGUUCAUGGUCCUAAUAUUUCUACGGAGUAUGCAAAAUAUGUUGAGGAUUGUUGCCGUAAGCGAAUCCUUAACACAGAGCUUGCAAAGUUAAAAGACAGCUUUAGGCGUCCUGAAAAAUGCCUGGCACUCAGUUUGCCUACAAUUAACCCAAAUCUCUUGGCUCAGCUUCCCAAGGAACUAAAGGAGCAUGAUGAGAGUCUUCAAAAUGCCCAAUUUUUACUUGCUAAGGGCAUGACAGGGGUGGUUGAUGUUAAGCAAACACUUUUGUAAUUCAAUUCCAGCAUGGAUGAGUUUUAUCUUCUUUUCAAGGAGCUUAAUGAAAAAAUUGAUGCAUCAGUUGCGUUAUUGGGUAACGCCCUUCUUUAAUCAGCCUUCUGAAGACAAGAUUUACUAAAAUCCGCCAUAAAUCCACGUUUCCACUCAUUGUGCAGCUCAAAAACUCUGAUAACUAACUGCCUUUUUGGUGACAAUGUCCUCGAAGCUGCCCAAAACCAUCUCAUCUUCACAAGAAAUAAUGCGGCUGUUGGCUUCCUUGCGUAUGCCAUCUGCAACAAUCUCCAAAUCACCACCUCGACACUACCAGUUCAACACCCAUCAACAGCACUCACAAAGCUAUUUAAACUACCAAGGCCUAUCCAACAACUCUUGGAAGUCCCGCCAACAGUUCACAAAAACACAACCUUCAAAACCAGUUCAAAAGCUUGACCAAGGAUGGCUAAGUGAGGAAGAUAGGGUAAGGUACUGGCCAAUCACUCUUUACCCAGACAUAUUCAACUUUUUAGCUUUCCUUCCUAAUGAGAUUGCUAGUUCUGAUUUCAGGGACUACAAAACUUCAAAAACUUACUGCCAUUUAUCACAAGGAUGGUUAACACUUUUGAAGUAGACCCUCACAGAGAACAAAUGACACUACAUACAAACUAACUGUCUCUGUAAAGAGACUGGUAAAAUACUAGUAACUCAUUGUACUUGUAUGGCUGGCAUGUCUCAGACAUGCAAUAAUGUAGCUGCUGCUCUCUUCCAUGUUGGGUCAGCUUGGAGAAGGGGUUUGAAUAACAGUUUUGAAGUUGAAAAGAGAAGAUUUUUGCAAACGAGGAAAAAAGCAGGCAGACUUAAACACAGCUAAGAAGAGAAAUUUUAUUCCAAUAGCAAAGAGCACUUACAUGCUAACCUUCGAAGAUUUUGCUGCUGCUUGAAAAAAGUUGGCAAAGAGACUGAUUCUAUCUUGCUUACUGCCUUGCCAAAGUUGAUUCUCAGGUACCGCAAGGAGCAGAAGCUGUGAGUGUUCACACAAGCUUAAUGCUUAAUUGCUUAUUGCUCACUUCUUAAUGGUAAGAUUCUUUGGGACGCUUGGAUAACCAGAGGUCAACAUGAAAACACAAAUUGGAAUCUAUUUAGAAAGCAUGUUAUUACUGCCUCUAAAGCACACAGUGUUAAAGCUAGAUGUGCAACAUUACAAAGAGCCAAGGAUGCCAGUGAAGUAAAUCUUCUAACAAUAUUUGAUAAAACUUCUGGGAAAGAUUUGAACCUAGGUGUUCCUGUAGUGAGAUAUGACUUUCGUGGUCAGACCAUUUCUGAAGACCAUAGAUGACAAAAAGUUUUGACAAAAAACCAUAAAUAUUUCACACAAUGUCAAGUGCAAACGGCUUCAGUUGGAUUAUCGACAUGUCAUGUCAGCUUUCUUGAGAAGCUUAGUUUGACAAGAUGAACUGGUUGCAGUUAAAACACACUUUGGAGGACUUUUACAUUAACUAUUAUGUUCCAUAUCUGUUUAAUGAAUAAGGUUAAGUAACUUUACACAACUAUUUGCCUCAGUCCAUUUACUGUUUUGCGUGUUGCAUGUAUCCAUGAACUUUAUUGCAUAAGCUUUAAUUGGAUUUUGGUGGCAGCUUUGGACAUGAUAUUUCAUUUGAGAAUGAAUACACUGUUGUAAAAGUCAGGCAGGUCUGCUCUGCUCCAUCUAAACAUAUUAGAGGUUAUACCGCUGAUAUUACGCUCAAUUAAAAAAAUGUACAUGAAAAUAAUGAUGAGUUUAUGGGUGGGGAUCAUUAUUGUAACUACACUCAACCUUCACACACACCUAACAGUCCCAAAGUAUUCUUUUACUGCAUGUGCAGAGCGAUAUUUUGACUAAAUUUUUAAUGUCUGACUGUCUUUUGGCUUCCUAUUCUUUUUUCUUCUUGUGCUUCUUUACAAAGUAUGUCAUAAACAGACAUCUUCUAUGCUCUUUAGGGCCUUUAUGUAGCCAAAUUUAUGAUUGAAUUUUCUUUUUAAACAUGAUAAAGACUUCUGCUAUGCGGCUAGCUAGUUUGAAAGGAAUUUGUAGUUGUAUUUCUAAAAUUCAAAUAUGUUUAAUUUCUUUAGUGUGUUUUAUCUUGAUAUCAUUUCUGGGAGGCAGAGGAGACUCGUUCACUCUUUUAAAAUCUUGUAGGGAUUUUGCUGAAAUUUUUUGUUUUCAUGAAAGUUUUCUAAAAUUCAGUAAAAUUUCUUUGGUUUAUAAAAACUUCAAACACUAUUUUCAAACAGUGAAACACCCCCAAAACAUUUUUACAUUGAUAUUUUAUAGUUAAAAGUUUAAAGGACUACCUUUUAGGGAUAACACAACAUCACAUGCCUUAACUUUUCAAGGUGUGUGAUAACCAUUUAGCCUGGAAAAUUUCACAUUACCUGAACCAUAUGUCCCAUGUACCAUGGUUGCAGAAACUAAGUAAAUUACAUGAGAAAUAGACUUAACAGUGCCUUUGGAUUCCUGCAUGCACGACAAAUAGCAUUUUUGUUGAUUGCAUUUACCAAAGUUUCUUAUUACAAUAAAGAGGCAUGGAUAGAACAGACACAAAACUGAACUGAGUUUUUUCUUGAGUAGCUAAAACAUCUACUGAUCUACUGUAGUGAGAGAGAUAUCUUUAAUUCACUUGUUUUCUUUUAUUUUAAUCAGUGGGGGCUGAAUGUUGCAUAAAGUAGCACACGCAUGCAUAAUGUCAUCUGCUAGAGGUAACAUGUUUAUAGGCAUAAGGUUUUUUAUAAUUUUGAAUUCUUUUAUUUUGUUGAUGGCUCUUUCAACAUGAAUCCUCAAAUUUGCAACCAUUCUUGUCUUUUUCAUCGAGAGCUGACAGCAUCCAGAUGGUGAAUAUAUUUGAACAUACACCAGGCGAGAUUCUGAAUCUGGCUGCUAGUUCCUCAUUCAUGAAACCCAGUCGAAAUCUCAUAAGGACAAGCAAAAACUGAUCUCUUAAGGUCACUUUUUGAUUCCUCCUUUUCUUAUUUCCAAUGUAUUUUGAUGGUGAAUCGGUUCCUGUUCCCCUCCAGUACACCAUGGAUGACAAGCAAAAAGAUCGUACUUUCUUUACAUUAUCUAUCAAUUUGCACCUGGGUAAAGAAGGAUACAACAAAAGAAUCAGCAUGAGCCACUUUGUAAACAUCAUUUAUUGCAAUAAAACUAAGGCAUAUAAAACAUUUAUUGCAAUAAAACUACGAUGCUCCUGCUGAAGCUUUGAUUACAGAGUUAAAAUGGCCAACUGUGAGGGAUAUGAUCAGAAGUGAGACUGCAACAACUGUAUAUAAAUCUGUUAAUAGUCUCGAACCUGAUUAUCUCUCGCAUUUAUUUGUUAGAAAUUCUGAACGCAACAUUAUCAACCUUAGAAAUGCCGAAACUGACUUGCUAGUGCCAUUCAUGAAAACUAGUGAUGGAAAGAAAGUAUUCGCAUUUCUUGGAACAAAAAUCUGGAAUGAUCUCUGAAAAUCAGUCAUGACUGACAGGGCUACCGUGCAUAAAUAAUUUUAAAAUGUAAAAAAAGAAAAAUGGCACGAUUAUUAUGAUUACCAAUAUAAUUUGUUGAUAUGAAGAAAUAUAUUUUUCCAAGGUAACAAAUAUAUUUUUCUGAUGCUUCUUAUUUUUCAUGCCUUUCCAAUUUCAAAUGAUGUGUUCAUGUAGGUUAAAUGAGGAUCUGUUGUGCCCACAGGAAGUCGCAAACAACAAUUCAAUCUAUGACUCAAUUGAUUUAGUCUGCAAGAGAGGAAAUCUCGACUAUCUAAUAAAUUUAUUCUCUGUAUUUUUUUUGCAGAGGAUAUCUUGGCGAAAGGAAGAAGAGCUUCGCUCCUUUAAGGUGAGGGUUGCCUGCAAAUUUGGGAUUCCAAGAAACCAACAGUUUGUCUUCACAAAAGAUAAUGGUUUGAUAAUACUUUGAACCAGAGAAAGCAACAAUUUACACAAGAUGCACAGGGAAACGACGGGGGGAAACCACCGCCAAAAAAAGAACAAAAUUGCACUUUCUGGACAAAAUUGCUACCUCUUCCGGCAAAAAUGGUGCUCUUCCUGGUGCAAUUGACACUUUCUCUUAAUAAGGGGGCAGUUUUAAAUAAUUGGCAAACUGGCCUUCAUGGCCACUGGGCACCCUUACUUCUAUGUCCAUGGACAUAUAGUCGUAGAUCAUUUUAUCAAUCUCCAAAAAAGAGAUUAGCCAAAAUUAUGGCAGUAACGCAACUAGCAUUAUGGAAGGGAUAUUUCUUUUGCUACAGGUUUAAGUUAGUAAUUUUCUCCGAAUUUACUGCCAUAUACUAACAUAACCCAGGUUACAUGUGGCAUGUUGAGCCUUGUGUUUGAGGAAGUGCUUAAAAUUUCUUACUUACAAAUACCCCAAAGAAAUAGUCUGACUUUAUUUCAUUCCUCUACAAGUGCCACAACCAGCUUCAAGUGAAAAAUCAGCAUAACAUAGCUGACAUUUUAUUUUUUUUUCAAUCUUUUAUAUUAUUUGAGGGAAAAACUUGACUAUGAUGAAAUAAGGCUGUGGUGUGAUGGCAAACUUUACUUGCAAAUCGUCUGGAAUUGUUCAUGGACCAUGAAGCAAAUUUAUGCAUAAGUUUUUAGGUGGUAAUCAGGUAUAGGUAGCUUCCUUACAAAUAGAACUCAUUUCAUGAUUCAAUUACGCGAAGACACAUUUUAGUCACUUAAUUAGUUUUCUCAUCUCAAUUAGAAUGGAUGAAAGCUUAAUGGAAAGGAUGGAAUCACUUUCGAUUUAUGUUCACAAUACGAGUAACCAGCUAAGCCAGUGCCAAUCUUCGAUACAACGAAGAGCAAAAAGACUGAAGGGGAGAGGGCAAGUGGGAUAAAUAAGAAAAUUUCUGAACUAGAUGGGGCUAUUGAGUCUAUAAAUGGGAGAAUGGAGGGAGAAGAGGAAGAAUUUUCACAAGGUGAUAGAGGCAUAGGUGAAAAGAGGUGGAGAGAGAGAGAAGCAGCAGAGAACAUUAGAAAGAAGGCAAUGGAAAGUAUUGGAGGAAGUAGGGACAAGGAUACAUCUGAAGGUGGAGUUUAGAAGAAUAGAAGAGAAAGAAGAGUGGAUACAGCAGUAAAUUUGGAAGUAAGGCACGAUGAGGAAGUAAAUUUGAGGAAGGCUGAAGUAGAUCUACGAGAAAAAGAAUUGAGGUUGAAAGAAAAGGAACAAGAGCAAAAUUAUGAGCUAAAAAACAGGAGUUGUCAUUUAAAAAAAGGGAAAGGGAAGAUAAAAGGAAGGAACCUCUAAUCAUGGAGAAGAGAGAAACCAGACUACUUAAUUUGAUUUAGCAACAGCAGUUACUCUUCAGUCAAUUUCUCAGCAAAAUGUGCAGAUAUGGAUUGCUGAAAAAUUAGUCAUGUGUAACUUUUACUUUUGCCUGGUACAGAAAAAUGAUUCGAACUUUUGUAACCUGCCUUAUGGCAUACAAUUAUCCUAUUGGGAACUCAGAAAAAUUUAUGUGCAUUUAAAUCUAGUAAAAUGCUGAUAAAUGCUGUUGCCUAUUCUAAAUUUCCAUAAAUUUAUGCUGUGAUUACAAUAAGUCAUUAGUAGUUUCUUUAUCAUUAAUUGCAAAAAAAUAAGUAGUUUCUCAAUGUCGCAAAAAUUAUGGUGAUUUGUUAUUCAGUUUCAUCCCACUUUUAUGUACUCAGAUAUAUUUUCAAAGGUAAAUACAGAACUAGAUUUGACAUGAUUUCUUAAUUAAAAAAAUGUUUUACCAAAAGGAGAACCAUGAAACAUCCUUCAAAAGGCGAAUCAUGAAACAUGAACAAAAUGAAAUAUCUUUAAACUUUGCUUUAGUGUAACUUGAAAUGAUUUUCGAUGUUAAAAUUUGCAGUGGCAAUCUAAUUUACUUGGCUGCACAACAUAGAUUUUGACUCUAUAAUCAAGUAACAACACAAAAUCAUUGAACAUUUAGGCUAAGCUUGAGUUGGUGGAACCUUUCAGUUUUUUUCUAUCAACUAUGUUUAAUUUGCAAUUUAAAUCAUUGUACAAAAACAUUUUUCAGAUAAGUCCUAUUUGGAAAAUAACUCAAACAGACAACAUUGGUUAUUAUAAUGAUACAUUUUUGUGGCUAUUGAUUUGCAAUAUUUUUAAAAUAUCACACUUUGGCCUUGGGUACUUACAAUUGACUUAUCUGCUGUGGAAUGUGCUUCAUUUUUUCUACAUUUUAUGACCAUUGAAUUACCACUUAUUUUAAUUUGUUAUGGGUACUGAUGAAGAUAUAUAAUAGGGAUAUAGGCCCCCUUGUAAAAUUUUUACAAUGUUUUUCGGUUUUAAUGAUUUGAAAAGUUGCCUUAAACAAUGCCAUGACUUGUUGUGUGUGUACAGGUCUUGGUACUAUUGGUGGCUUUUACAAAAGUCGUUUCUGUUGUCUUGUGAAGAUGAGUUAGAUGAAUUUGUCUCCUCUGCCAGAAUCUUUGUUGAUAUCUCGAGAAUCAACGUUACCUAAAAUAAUCAUCAAUGUUUGGAGGUUUAACAUUGAAGAAGCUUGAUGUUGUAGAGCUAUAUAAACAUGUCAGGGCAUUUCUUAAAAGGGCACAAACAGAUUUUCCCAACAGCACUCAUUCCAAUUUGGAGGUUUUUCUUAAAAUCUAUUAACUUAAAAUAGUUUGAAAUGUCCCCAACACCCAUUCAACAGCAACACGAACCCUACUAAUUGAGGUAUUAAAGACUUGUUAGUCUUCUGUUAAAGGUCCCCUUCUUAUCAUAGGACAUUGCAGGUGAACCCUGUUUGGAUAGGCAGGAUCACCAUAUGUGCAAAGGGGCUGUUCUUCUUUAGUGGCUGUUCAAAUUGGCCUUAUACCUUGACAUAGCAAGCAUACCACUGUCGUGCCUGCAUCCUUCAACGGGCCCAAAAAGAUUGGCAAUGAGGCCAUUCGUAGCCGCAACUGAUUGAAACUUCAAUGCAUGGACUCUUUGGUGCCCAUUGCCCUGACAGUGCCGUCUACAAGACCCCAGCAAUUUUCUAAGGCUGCCCCCUUUGCAUGAAUGGCAUCUGCAUGCAAUUUAAGAUUUGCUGGGGAUAGGUAAGGUUGAUCAAUGUCCUUUAGAAGAUGUGCUGAGUUGUUGUAAAUAGUGUUUACAACAGUGUUAAACACGGUGCACAGCUGGUCUGAAACUCAGAUGGGCCUGAAGAUCAUUUCAGUUUGCGGUCUGAGCCCUUCGGGUGCUCAACUCCUCUUAGUUUUGCUUUCUCAAUUUGAGACAUAUUUGAGGCUUCGCAAUAAUAUAAUAUGAAAGUGUCAUAUUAUAUUUUAUCUAUGGGGCUUUCACUGGUAGAUGAAAAGUAUAGUAACAAUGCCGGAAUUUCCAAACAUCAAAAUAUUAACAAGGUGAUUUUAAUGCACAAUUAUUUAAGUGGGUUGAAAGGCAUCAAGAAACGCAUCUGAAAACUUGAAACUCAUCAAGUCAAGCAGGUGAGUCGUGUUUUUUAGUGGUUUAAAACAAUUUAUAAUUUGUUUUAAUGAUGGAAUCAGGCCUACCUAUAUUGUUAAGGUUUGAGUACUGCAGCGUUCAAAUUUCAAUAAAAUAAUUCUCCUGAUUCAGUAACAAAAAUGAAGAAUAUGCACAUUAUAUUACUUGGAUAUUGAAACAAAUUCACAUUUACACUAGGGUAUCGAAAGUAUCACACCACUUUGAUAGGGGAGAAAUGGCGCAUAAAUGAUCGCAAGCUAUUGUUAUGCAAAUUUAUUCUGUUUUGUCAUCGUAAAUUUAAAUUUUUAAAAGCUUUCUUUUGAAAAUCUAGAUUGUGUUUAAAUGGGGCUUGGAAUAUAUGAUUAGAAGCCAAUCCAUUUUCUCAACAUAUUCUGCAACAACACUCUUGUUACGAUAUUACAUUUUCAAAAUCAAUUCGUAACAAUGGUUUUAUUUUUUUUAGUUCACUCAUCUUCCGCGCUUUCUGUCAUCUACAACAUAAAAUAAAAACAUGAAUAGAAAAAUUUUACAUAAACAAAUACUCCUAUUUGGCAGUUUCUAGGAGAGAGAGAAAACGGAAAAGCAGGGACAGACAGAAAACAGAUGAGAAGAGUUCUAGAAAUUUUAGUCAAAUAAAGGGUAUUGAUGUCCGUCUAAACGAUCAUACAUUUGUUGUAACAUCAUUAUACAUUUGAUUGAAAAUUUUUGCAAACAAAUUUUCGGUCAUGUAGCAACUAUUGCGAACAAAGUUGACCAUGCCUGAAGAUUUUAUAGACAGUUCAACUCUCAAACUGAAUGCAUCCAGGAAAGCUUGUAGGUAAUUUUAAUCAUUGCAUCCAUCAAAGAAAGAAAACAAUUUCUUGGGCGUUUCCGGGAAAUGGGCAUGGUCAGUCGGUUAUAAUGAUUUUUGAGAAUGUCAAAUUUUUGUCUGGACCCGCCCCUGAUAGGCAGGAUCACCAUAUAUGCAAAGGGGCUGUCCUUCUUCAGUGAAAAAGUGCUGUUCAAGUUGGCCUUAUACCUUGACAUAGCGAGCAUACGACUGUCGUGCCUGCAUCCUUCAACGGGCCCAAAAAGUUUUGCAAUAAGGCCAUUCCUAACCACAACUGAUUGAAACUUCAAUGCAUGGAUUCUUUUGUGCCCAUUGCCCUGACAGUGCCAUUUACAAAACCUCAACAAUUUUCUAAGGCAGCCCCCUUUGCAUGGAUGGCAUCUGCAUGCAAUUUAAGAUUUGCUGGGGAUAGGUAAGGUUGAUCAAUGUCCCUUAGAAGAUGUGCAGAGUUGCUGUAAAUUGUGAUUACAACAGUGUUCAACUCCAAAAGAUUUCAUAGAGAGUUCAACUUCUAAACUGAAUGCAUUCAGGAAAGCUGGUCGGUAAUAAAUAUAUAAUUUGUAACAUUUGUGGUUCAUUGCAAAAUUUUGGUGAUAUUUUUCAUUUGCUCAUUUCAAAAAAAUAAUCUCCCUUUUUUCACAGCUCUGCUCCCAAAACACAGGCAUUUGAAAUGGCCACCUUUGCUAGUUUUUUCGAGAAUAUGCAGGUACACUGGAAGUGGAUGGAAGGCUACUGCAAAGAGGUGCGAAUGAAACGAUAAGUGUCUGGAUGACAAGGAAAGCAGAAAAAAGAAAAGGCGAAGCGGUUGUUCUUUCAGUAGCAGUAUUGCUUGGCAUCUUCUCCAUCUAAACUGAAUUCUUCAUAUUCCGUCCAUACCAAGCUCAUUUUGUACUUUCUAACUAUACGGCAUAAGAUAAAAACAUGAAGAGAAUAAUCUUAUGUGAACGUAUACUCCUAUUUGGCAGUUGCGAGGAGAGAGAGAAAACGGAAAAGCAGGGACAGACAGAAAACAGGUGAGAAGAGUUCUAGAAGUUGUUCUCAAAUAAAGGGUAUUGAUGUCCGUCUACACGAUCAUUUAUUUGUUGUAACAUCAUUAUACAUUUGAUUAAAAAUGUUUGCAAACAAAUUAUUGCGAACAAACUUGGCCAUGCCCAAAAUGUGUGAACAGUUUCAAAGUUGAAUCUGCAUCCCAAUUCUUACAAACAAGUGUUUUAUAGCAGUAACCAAAUUGAAGGCAGCUGCAGGAUCACGAUGGAUUGCCUGCUAUACAUUGGUAACAUGACAAAUUCUUUGUUGUUUGCAUUUGUACUUGCUCAUCAUCAAUUUGUAUUUAAUCAAACUGCAAAUUGCUUUCGAAUAAAUUCGGUAAAAUGACCCACAAGUUGUACUUUCUAUGUCUUUAAGCAUCAGAUUUUCAAGGUAAGGACCACUCUUUUCGAAAUCCAUUAUUUUACACUUUUCCUCUUGGAAUUUUCUUUGCCUGAUACAGCUGAAAGUUAUGGAUGCACUUCUUGUACAUGAAGGUAGUAUCCGCUUAUUAGCUUCAAUGAUUGAGGGUCAAAAUUGAUUCACUUUACAUCGCUUUGUGUAAAUGUUUAAGAGUGACGGACAAUUAUACCUGAAAUCCGAUUGAAUAUUUAUUUUGUUAUAAAACAUCCUUGAAAUUUAUUCACUGUUCAUUGCAUUGAAAAAUAAUCUAGCGCAUAAACCUCUUUUAUCCAAUCCUCUCUAUACAAAUAGUUUUAGAUGUUGAUGAAGUUAUUUCUCAUCGAAGGAAUACAGCGAUUCUCCUUUGGACGAGUUAUCUUGCGGAGGUAAGUACAGUUUCCAAUUGUAGUUCCACAACGCGAAAAAGUAACAUAUCACAAGUUAAUAAUUUACCCUAACCGAUAUUCCUUUAAGCCAACAGUAUACUUUUGGUCUUAUCAACUUAUUAAAUUUUUAAUUUAAAGAGGCAGAAAGAAUAGAUGCUGCAUCUGGUCCAUUGGCAUCUGUGAAUGAAAAAAAGGUAUGGCCAACUUCAUUUAUAUAACUAGAAAUGCCUCAUGUAUAUGUUCAUUUAAAAUGUUUGAAUCCAGGUUGGUAUAGAGAAGUUGGCUCGUUUAUGUUUCAAACUAAGCAGGAAGCAUUUUUGGGCAUUUCCAUAAAUGACAUUUUUACUAUUCACAUAGUAAAUUUUUUUAGUUAAAGGCAGACUUUACGCAGCAAAUACUUCGACUUAAAGAAAUGUUCCUUCUUUUUUGUGAUAUUUAGAGAAAGAAAUGUGCUAAAGGCUGCAUGAGGUUAAAAGAGAUGCUGGAGGAGAAGGCAUGGCUGCAGAAGGCAACUUUCCUUUCUAGGCGUCCAGUUGGCUUGGCAGAUCUUAAUGUAGGGGUAAUUAAGAGGUUUAUUGACCUUAUUUAUGAGUCAUCCAAUGAUCAAAUUAUGGAUUCUCUUCAUCUUCCAGUGUCUAGCCUGAAAUUUCUUGUAGGGAACCGUUGGCUUUCAAGUGAUCUUUUG